This is a long non-coding RNA of Megachile rotundata (alfalfa leafcutting bee), 446 nucleotides long. RefSeq lists it as uncharacterized. NCBI's taxonomy places the organism in Eukaryota, Metazoa, Arthropoda, Insecta, Hymenoptera, Megachilidae. The record is from RefSeq and is a predicted model, not a curated record.
AUCGUUAAGUGAGGAACCCUUUAUCGGGCCCGUUCGAUUAAAUAUAUCCAUUAGUACCUGGAAAAAAGAAUAAAGGAUUAAUAUAGAAAAUUAAUACUUGUAGGUCAAAAAAGAAAUCAAGUUAAUGAAAUGCUAUAUUCAAACGAAAUAUAAUUAUCACAUAUUAUACUUUACAGUAAUAAAGUACUAUUUUUAAUAUAUCGUAAUAUAAAGAGCACGAUUAUCGUUUGACGUUAACUGUGAAUUUUAAAGGCUAAUUUAGUAUACAGCACCUUUUGGAAUGCUAAUGGAAUGAUUGAUACAUCAAAACCUUUUUUAUCUGCUGUUUUACAUGAUCGUGAAAUGUGUGUAAAAAUUUUUAGAAUAUUUUUCGAGUAAUACAUAAAUACAUGAUAAACAGAUAAUUUUAUAAUUCUUUUUUAUAAGUCCAUUACCAAAAAAUACAG